This 499-nucleotide ribosomal RNA is filed under the name uncultured bacterium. RNAcentral describes it as "partial 16S ribosomal RNA". It matches the Rfam family "Bacterial small subunit ribosomal RNA", at positions 899 to 1397 of the family's 1533-position model. The record is from RNAcentral.
ACUCAAAUGAAUUGACGGGGGCCCGCACAAGCGGUGGAGCAUGUGGUUUAAUUCGAUGCAACGCGAAGAACCUUACCUACCCUUGACAUGCCAGGAAAUUUGCAGAGAUGCGAAGGUGCCGAAAGGAACCUGGACACAGGUGCUGCAUGGCUGUCGUCAGCUCGUGUUGUGAGAUGUUGGGUUAAGUCCCGUAACGAGCGCAACCCUUAUCCUUAGUUGCCAACACGUAAAGGUGGGGACUCUAAGGAGACUGCUGGUGAUGAACCGGAGGAAGGCGAGGACGACGUCAAGUCAUCAUGGCCUUUAUGGGUAGGGCUACACACGUGCUACAAUGGGCAGUACAGAGGGAAGCCAACCCGCGAGGGGGAGCCAAUCUCACAAAGCUGUUCGUAGUCCGGAUUGGAGUCUGCAACUCGACUCCAUGAAGUCGGAAUCGCUAGUAAUCGCGAAUCAGAAUGUCGCGGUGAAUACGUUCCCGGGCCUUGUACACACCGCCCGU